UCUCUCUCUCUCUCUCUCAACUAAUUUCCUAUUAUUAUAUGUUCAGGAAUCAAUAUGUUACAGUGUGCAUCAUAUUAAGAUAUUAUGGAUGUUUACAUUGAAUCCCUUACCUCCUGUAUUAGGAGAGUAAAAGCCCUGCUGAUUUUCUGAUAGAAUGAAUAACACAAACACAAAAACCUUUCUUUGGCUUAUAUGAUUACAAAGUAAAUGGCUGCUUCGAUUCUUUAACCCUUAAUUAUGUGCAAAAUAUUCCAGACUUUCUCAGGUGCUGUUGAAGAGAGGGCAAAAAGGGUAUUCAACAAGCUGAAAGGUUUCCUUGUUGCAACUUUUUUUUUUGGAUUAAGCGAUCAUAGGGCCAUCAACAUAUAUGCUGUAGUUUUCUAGAUGAAACUAAGCUGCUUGCUGUUUUGCACAGGUAAGCCACAAAAAUCCUUGGCAGAUGUCCUCCGAGAGUACAACCUUCCCCCUGGGUUAUUCCCUCAAAACGUGAAAUGCUACGAGUUGGAUGAAUCGAAAGGUAAGCUAAUAGUUUACUUGCCCUCUGUCUGCGAGGUGUGUUUCAAGGACUCAUCCAUCUUACGGUAUGCCACUCGAGUGAAAGCGACAUUGUCAAGGGGAAAGCUCACUGGAAUAGAAGGAAUGAAAACAAAAGUUAUAAUGUGGGUUAAAGUCAGCAGCGUUACUGUUGAGAGCUACAAAUCUGAUAAAGUGUGGUUCACUGCUGGUGUGAAGAAAACCAGGCCUAAAGAUGCAUAUGAAAUGCCUCGCGAAGCCAUUCAAGUUGAAGAAUUUUGACAACUUUUGCAAGCUAUAAUUUGCUGGUUAUUGAUUCAAGUUCUUUGUUGACAGACACAUAUCUGUACCUAUUACUUUUCAUUGGCCUUUUAUUACUCAAGUGACAUAACCUGUUGGCUGCUGCCAUGCCAGAUUGUAACCAAAAUAUUCAAAAGUUCAAACGUAAUGUGCGAGCUCUGUCUUCUGCCUAUUAAUUA
Molecule: unclassified non-coding RNA, 992 nt
Filed under: Hevea brasiliensis (rubber tree)
Lineage: Eukaryota; Viridiplantae; Streptophyta; Magnoliopsida; Malpighiales; Euphorbiaceae
Source: RNAcentral